Non-coding RNA from Gorilla gorilla gorilla (western lowland gorilla), 156 nucleotides. It matches the Rfam family "Metazoan signal recognition particle RNA", at positions 96 to 252 of the family's 299-position model. Rfam says of the family: The signal recognition particle (SRP) is a universally conserved ribonucleoprotein. It is involved in the co-translational targeting of proteins to membranes. The eukaryotic SRP consists of a 300-nucleotide 7S RNA and six proteins: SRPs 72, 68, 54, 19, 14, and 9. Lineage: Eukaryota; Metazoa; Chordata; Mammalia; Primates; Hominidae. The record is from Rfam.
UGCUGACCGGGUGUCUGCACUAAGUUUGGCAUCAAUAUGGUGACCUCCUGGGCUAGGGGGCCAACAGGUUGCCUAAGGAUGGGUGAACUGGCCCAGGUCAGAAACGGAGUAGGUCAGAGCUCCUGCACCGACUGGUAGUGGGACUGUGCCUGCGCA